Long non-coding RNA from Oncorhynchus nerka (sockeye salmon), 986 nucleotides. RefSeq lists it as uncharacterized. Lineage: Eukaryota; Metazoa; Chordata; Actinopteri; Salmoniformes; Salmonidae. The transcript has 4 exons. The record is from RefSeq and is a predicted model, not a curated record.
GGGUGCUUGAGAUACCCGGAUGUGUUGUGAUGUACGGAACAAGACUGGUUACUCGCAUCAAUGCCUCGUCAUUUAACAUUCAAACAUCUUCCUCUUCUUUAACUGAGACGUCUUUCUCUUCUUCUUUCACGCCUUCCUCUCCUCUGAGGACCCAGUGAGGCUGGAGAACAUUCAGAGAGCUGUUGAGGGACUGGUUAGGAAGAACACUUCUACAGCCAGAGAGUGGCCUGACUGCAUCCAGACUGUCAUAGGCCCAUCCUGGUAGAUCUGAACCUAAUGCAGCUUGGAGUGAUCGGAUGACAGAAGUCACAUUUAGGGGAAGUCAAGAAAUGGAACAGCAAGGCCACAGAACAUGACAUAAGCAGAGCUGUGGGAGACCACCUCAAGCCCCUGGUAGAGCCGGGGGUGGUGUUUACCACUCCCCCUAGCCUUCAGCAGGCUGGAAAAGUGGAAGAUAUACUGAAUUUAUACUGUUUUUCAUACUAAGAUGGACCAUGCACUAUAUUGACAAGGUUGAAGAUAGCAUGAAAAACAGUAUAAAUUCAGUCUAAGAUUGACCAAGAUAUAUGCCUUUGCACAUAUUUGUUUAUUGGUUUAGCAAGUCUGUUGAUUGGUUAGUCACUGGGUUCAUUUGUUUUGCAAUAUGAUCAAAUCAAGCUUUAUUUAUAUAGUACAUUUCAGACAUGGAUGCAACACAAUGGCUUCACAGGAAAAAAACAAAUAAAAAUAAACUGAAAUAUUUAGUACACAACAAACAGAAACUUAACUGAAAGACUGAGCAUUUUAAGGAAAUGUCAUUGAAAUAUUCGAUGCAACAUCCAACACAAUAUAUACGUUUGUUUAAUUCCAUUGUUUGUUACAUUCUCCAUUGAGAACCAACAAACUAAAGUCAAACUAAAUGUUACAUGAAUUGUAAAUAUGAAAUAUCAAAAGCAAAUGUGAUUGGUGAGGCAUGGAAUAAUAAAACGUAUCUUUGUCAGGCUGAA